UUUAUAACUGCAUUUAUGGAAAGAGUGACUAAUUCUAAACCUUUAUAACCACUUUGCACCUUAUCAUUCUCAGUCUAGCUCUCUCUUUAUCACUCUUGUAAAUUGAAAAUCUACAUUUAUGGUCAGUUUUCAUGAUGCUAAAUCUUUGAAAACCAUUCUGUCCCAUGUCAAUGCUUCAACCUAUGUAAUGGUCUAACCAUCUCCACUACUCCUCUCUUAAGUUGACUUUGGUGGGUGCCACUUCCAUCUUUCUACUGAAGUCCUCAUUCUUUAUCUGGUACUUCUUGUAUUUUCAUGCAUUUAUUUUAGCACUCUUCUGUCUUGCUUAUGUUGUGG
RNAcentral lists this unclassified non-coding RNA (336 nucleotides) under Hevea brasiliensis (rubber tree). Lineage: Eukaryota; Viridiplantae; Streptophyta; Magnoliopsida; Malpighiales; Euphorbiaceae. The record is from RNAcentral.